AGUGAACGCUGGCGGUAGGCCUAACACAUGCAAGUCGAACGGCAGCACAGAGGAGCUUGCUCCUUGGGUGGCGAGUGGCGGACGGGUGAGGAAUACAUCGGAAUCUACUCUGUCGUGGGGGAUAACGUAGGGAAACUUACGCUAAUACCGCAUACGACCUACGGGUGAAAGCAGGGGAUCUUCGGACCUUGCGCGAUUGAAUGAGCCGAUGUCGGAUUAGCUAGUUGGCGGGGUAAAGGCCCACCAAGGCGACGAUCCGUAACUGGUCUGAGAGGAUGAUCAGUCACACUGGAACUGAGACACGGUCCAGACUCCUACGGGAGGCAGCAGUGGGGAAUAUUGGACAAUGGGCGAAAGCCUGAUCCAGCCAUGCCGCGUGCGUGAAGAAGGUCUUCGGAUUGUAAAGCACUUUAAGUUGGGAGAAGGGCAGUAAGUUAAUACCUUGCUGUUUUGACGUUACCAACAGAAUAAGCACCGGCUAACUUAUGCCAGCAG
RNAcentral lists this ribosomal RNA (495 nucleotides) under uncultured bacterium. RNAcentral describes it as "bacterial SSU rRNA". It matches the Rfam family "Bacterial small subunit ribosomal RNA", at positions 29 to 514 of the family's 1533-position model. The record is from RNAcentral.